This 468-nucleotide ribosomal RNA is filed under the name uncultured bacterium. Its description in RNAcentral is "partial 16S ribosomal RNA". It matches the Rfam family "Bacterial small subunit ribosomal RNA", at positions 28 to 507 of the family's 1533-position model. The record is from RNAcentral.
GACGAACGCUGGCGGCGUGCUUAACACAUGCGAGUCGAACGGAAAGGCCCUGCUUUUGUGGGGUGCUCGAGUGGCGAACGGGUGAGUAACACGUGAGUAACCUGCCCUUGACUUUGGGAUAACUUCAGGAAACUGGGGCUAAUACCGGAUAGGAGCUCCUGCUGCAUGGUGGGGGUUGGAAAGUUUCGGCGGUUGUGGAUGGACUCGCGGCUUAUCAGCUUGUUGGUGGGGUAGUGGCUUACCAAGGCUUUGACGGGUAGCCGGCCUGAGAGGGUGACCGGCCACAUUGGGACUGAGAUACGGCCCAGACUCCUACGGGAGGCAGCAGUGGGGAAUAUUGCAAAAUGGGCGGAAGCCUGAUGCAGCAACGCCGCGUGCGGGAUGACGGCCUUCGGGUUGUAAACCGCUUUCGCCUGUGACGAAGCGUGAGUGACGGUAAUGGGUAAAGAAGCACCGGCUAACUACGUG